This 253-nucleotide ribosomal RNA is filed under the name uncultured bacterium. RNAcentral describes it as "partial 16S ribosomal RNA". It matches the Rfam family "Bacterial small subunit ribosomal RNA", at positions 524 to 776 of the family's 1533-position model. The record is from RNAcentral.
UACAGAGGUCUCAAGCGUUGUUCGGAUUCAUUGGGCGUAAAGGGUGCGUAGGUGGCUUGUUAAGUUGAAGGUGAAAUCUCGGGGCUCAACUCCGAAACUGCCUUCAAUACUGGCGAGCUCGAGGACUGUAGAGGAGAAUGGAAUUCACGGUGUAGCAGUGAAAUGCGUAGAUAUCGUGAGGAAGACCAGUGGCGAAAGCGAUUCUCUGGGCAGUUCCUGACACUGAGGCACGAAGGCCAGGGGAGCAAACGGG